Molecule: ribosomal RNA, 468 nt
Filed under: uncultured bacterium
Lineage: Bacteria
Description: partial 16S ribosomal RNA
Rfam family: Bacterial small subunit ribosomal RNA
Source: RNAcentral
GACGAACGCUGGCGGCGUGCUUAACACAUGCAAGUCGAACGGAAAGGCCCUGCUUUUGUGGGGUGCUCGAGUGGCGAACGGGUGAGUAACACGUGAGUAACCUGCCCUUGACUUUGGGAUAACUUCAGGAAACUGGGGCUAAUAUCGGAUAGGAGCUCCUGCAGCAUGGUGGGGGUUGGAAAGUUUCGGCGGUUGGGGAUGGACUCGCGGCUUAUCAGCUUGUUGGUGGGGUAGUGGCUUACCAAGGCUUUGGCGGGUAGCCGGCCUGAGAGGGUGGCCGGCCACAUUGGGACUAAGAUACGGCCCAGACUCCUACGGGAGGCAGCAGUGGGGAAUAUUGCACAGUGGGCGGAAGCCUGAUGCAGCAACGCCGCGUGCGGGAUGACGGCCUUCGGGUUGUGAACCGCUUUCGCCUGUGACGAAGCGUGAGUGACGGUAAUGGGUAAAGAAGCACCGGCUAACUACGUG